This 1115-nucleotide long non-coding RNA is filed under the name Monodelphis domestica (gray short-tailed opossum). RNAcentral's name for it is "lncRNA (ENSMODG00000049515.1)". The record is from RNAcentral. Lineage: Eukaryota; Metazoa; Chordata; Mammalia; Didelphimorphia; Didelphidae.
GGGAACUGCAUCCCCCCCAGUGUACCCCAGGUGUCCGGCCUUCCUACUUCCUUGUGUGGAAUUGUUCUCGAAUUGGACCAAUCCCGAGCUAGGGAGGGGCCACGCCCCUAUACUUCCAGGUGCAGGAUUGGUCUAUGCAAGGACCAAUCCCGUGCCUGGGAGGUGACUAUUUCAAAGGAGUUUUUAAAGUCUGGGAGAGGGUAGUCAGUUUCAGGAUGCUGGAGCUCUGGUUUUCUUUCAGUUGAAGUUUUACAGUUUAAAAAAGAAAGAGCUUUAAUUUUGCUCAUUUCAAAUGCAAACAAGAAAAAGCAUGGUGAGGUGGAAAGAUUACUGGACUAGAAAAGAGACCUAAAUUCAUGUCCUACUUCUGGCAUUUAGUUGCUCUGAGACUUUGGUGCACUCAAGAAACAUCUUCUCUUAAAUCUGAAUCCUGGAAUCCCAGAUACAAGGUUAUAGAGCUUGAAGAGAUUCAAAGUGAUCCAGCCUUCUGCCUUCUGCCUUCAGUUCUUCUCUGUUCCUGGAGCAGAGGGUGCACUUUUCCAAGCCUGAAGAGUUCUCUUCUAUGGAACGUGGGGUAAACCUGGCUACCCAUGCUCUUCACAAGGAAAGUAUGGUCAUUCAACAAAAUAGAAGAAUUCUAAGAAUUUGUAAAGAAAAGACCAGACCUGAACAGAAAAUUUGUUGUCCAAGCACAGAACUCAAGAGAACCAUCAAAAGCUCCAGCUCCAAGCGUUGGUUUAAGUGUCUGACUGGCUGUGAGAUAAUCCAGCGCUUGCCCAACAUUAAAUGCUCCAGAGAAAGGAGAGAGAGGCUCAAGUCUGGCAAGAGAGAGAACUUGCUCUGUCCCUUCUUUUAUAAAGACAGUUUUCAGCUCUCCUCCUGGGACUCUGAUUGGACAAGCUUCACCUCAGUCUGGGUCUUGACUUCUUUCACCACCUGUUGCAUGAGGAAUUCCUCCUCUCUCUUCAGUAUACCAAGACACUGUGAAGCCUCUGCCAUCCUGCCAUAGUAAGCAUGCCUGGCCAGUCAAAAGAAAUAGCUGAUAGCAACCAAGAGUGGGUUUUCAAAUGGAAUAAGUGGGUAUAAUUUUAAUAAAUUCAUAUAAUACAAUAACA